UUGCUUCAGCAGCACAUAUACUACAGUUGGAACGAUACAGAAAAGACUGGUAUGGCGCGUGCACAAGGAUGACAUGCAAAUUUGUGAAGGGUUCCAUAUUUUU
This 103-nucleotide small nuclear RNA is filed under the name Catagonus wagneri (Chacoan peccary). Lineage: Eukaryota; Metazoa; Chordata; Mammalia; Artiodactyla; Tayassuidae. The record is from RNAcentral.